AGGACUAACGCUGGCGGCGUGCCUAACACAUGCAAGUCGAACGAGGGUAGCAAUACCCUAGUGGCAGACGGGUGAGUAACACGUAGUCAACCUACCUCUUAGUGGGGGAUAACUAAUCGAAAGGUUAGCUAAUACCGCAUACGAUCGUCGAGGGGCAUCUCUUGACGAUGAAAGGAGCAAUCCGCUUAGAGACGGGACUGCGUCCCAUUAGUUAGUUGGUGGGGUAACGGCCUACCAAGACAUCGAUGGGUAGCUGGCUUGAGAGAGCGACCAGCCACACUGGAACUGAGACACGGCCCAGACUCCUACGGGAGGCAGCAGUGGGGAAUUUUCCGCAAUGGGCGAAAGCCUGACGGAGCAAUGCCGCGUGGAGGUAGAAGGCCCACGGGUCGUAAACUCCGUUUCUCAGAGAAGAAACAAUGACGGUAUCUGAGGAAUAAGCAUCGGCUAACUCUGCGCCAGCAGCCGCGUA
This 472-nucleotide ribosomal RNA is filed under the name uncultured bacterium. RNAcentral describes it as "SSU rRNA". It matches the Rfam family "Bacterial small subunit ribosomal RNA", at positions 26 to 521 of the family's 1533-position model. The record is from RNAcentral.